Molecule: long non-coding RNA, 922 nt
Organism: Lolium perenne
Lineage: Eukaryota; Viridiplantae; Streptophyta; Magnoliopsida; Poales; Poaceae
Source: RefSeq, a predicted model, not a curated record
UACCGUUCGACUUGGGCUGCCUGACACACUAGCAGUAUAGGGGUGCACUGCUGAAAGUUGAGCCACCAGUGUACCGUCAUAGGGCAUUUUAGGUAUAGAUCAAAACUUGUAGACAGCCCAGGUUCGACCUACCAGAUCGUUCACCUAGUUUCACCAGCCAAAAAGAAAAAUCCCCUCCCAGCAAGGGUUCCGGUCGCCGCCGCGCGCUCGCGUAGGCCUUCCUCUUCGUCCGGCUUCAGCAGCGACACCGGCGAUUGGAAGCACGCCUCCACAGAGUCUCUCGUAAUUGAAGGGGCCGAGGCAUAGGCGGUGGAGCCGGUGGUAGCUGCCAUGCGCGGCGAUGAAGGUGCGGGUGGCCGCGCGGCCCAGCUGGUUGAGCACCGGGCCAAGGCAGAGGCGGCGGAGCCGGCGGUAGACGGCGAGCACAUUUAUGAAGAUGCGGGUGGUCAGGCAUAUGACUAAGGUCUGUGGGAUGCAGUAACCAGAAGCAAUGUGGUUGAUGGAGCUGACAGAGUACAACAAGCUGCUGUCAAGAUGCACGAGAUGGCGAGAGGGGCGGACACUCUGAGUUUCAGAGGAGUUGAGACUGAUGAAGAUGUUGAUGUGGACUGAAUGAUGAAAAAGAUGAAUAGUGGUUUCCUGAAGCUGUGAACAUCUGUUGUUGGCCUUCCUUCCCCAACCAGAGAGAUUGCUGCUCAGUCAUUGCUCUUUAUGGUCUGUAGGAGAUGUCUAUCUCUAGUCAUCUGUUACCAGGUUGUCUUCAGAUCCUAGUCUGGUCUCGUGAUGUUGUGUUGCAGUACUUGUUGCAACAUAGAAAAACCUUUUAUGUUUUUGCCUUCUUCUUUCUGGUUGUAAGACUAUUUGUUAUGUUAUUCUCUGGUAAUGGAACCCGGCUCUCUGUUGAGGGGUGUUGAGAGCUGUA